Molecule: transfer RNA, 68 nt
Filed under: Dexia fulvifera
Lineage: Eukaryota; Metazoa; Arthropoda; Insecta; Diptera; Tachinidae
Description: tRNA-Met
Source: RNAcentral
AAAAAGAUAAGCUAAUAAAGCUACUGGGUUCAUACCCCACCUAUAAAGGUUAACCCCUUUUCUUUUUA